RNAcentral lists this long non-coding RNA (393 nucleotides) under Homo sapiens (human). RNAcentral describes it as "HSALNT0295271". Lineage: Eukaryota; Metazoa; Chordata; Mammalia; Primates; Hominidae. The record is from RNAcentral.
UAUUUUUGAUAUCAUUUUUCAUCUCAUUUCAUCUCAAUUCAUCUCAUCAUUUCAUCUCCUCAUCUCAUCAUUUCCUCCUUUCAUUACAACAUUUCAUCUCAUUUCUUCUCAUCUCAUUUCAAUUUCAUUAUUUCAUUAUGUCAUUUCAUAUAAUCUCAUUUCAUUUCAUCUCAUAUUUUUGAUAUCAUUUUUCAUCUCAUUUCAUCUCAAUUCAUCUCAUCAUUUCAUCUCCUCAUCUCAUCAUUUCCUCCUUUCAUUACAACAUUUCAUCUCAUUUCUUCUCAUCUCAUUUCAAUUUCAUUAUUUCAUCUCAUUUCAUUAUUUCACCUAAUUUCAUUAUUUCAUCUCAUCUCAUCUCAGUUCAUCUGAUCUCAUUUCAUCUCAGCAUUUCAU